AAGAUUCAAUUCUUUUUUCUAAACAAGGUAAUAUUAGUUAUCCAUUGAUUUGGCAGACGCAUGAUGUGUGAAUUCUACCUCACACGUUCAUAUAUUUGGUUCUUCAUUGAGUUUUUAUUUGCUUAUAGCAACUCACUCAAUCUUUUUAUAUUGAACUAUAGGUUUUUAAAUACGACCAUGCAUGUAUUCAUAAUAAUGAACAUAUAUGUUUAAAAACGAAGCUUACUACGUAAGUGAAUCCUAAUAUAGAAUGAAUUUAUGCGGAUGGAGAAAAAAGUUAAGAGUAUAAAAAAUGGGUAUUGUGGUCCACAGGCUUAACCAUUUUUGCUUAAGAAUAAUACUACACUGAUGUCUAAGAGAAAAUUCCAAUCUCAUUAGAUCAAAGUCAUCUACCACUUCAAGCCUUUGAUAAUCCUGGCCUGAACCCUUCUCUUCAAAGGACAAAGCAUCUUCUUUCACUUUCAAAAAAUCCAACCACCAUAUAUUAAGCAUCUUGAACAACAUUAUGGAACCCUUAAUGUGUACCUUUUAGAAUUAGAUGAGUGAAGUAUCUUUUAUUAAAACAUUAAGGGCUGGUAUUCUUUUAUAAAAACAUUAAGGGCUCAUUUGAUGGUUGGUAUACGAUAAAAACAUGAUAGGAUAAAGAGUUUGACAUAAUAAUAUGAACAAUGAUGAUAAUGAUAGUAGUGUUCGAGGCGUGAGGGUACGAAGGGAAACUAUAUUAUCUUAUCAUGCUAUUGCUCUACACAAAUGUUGCACAAUAAUUUUGUCAUUGUGAAACUUAGCCCUUCAUUACUAUUUUAACAAGAGAAAAUAAGUAUACGUUGAUGGUGUAUGAGUUUUAUAUACUGUCAUUGUAUUAUUCAUCAUUUAUAUUUAAUAAACUAGUACCGAUGUAAAGAGUGUACCUUUUAACUGAUGUGUUUAUCCAUCCAGCAAACUAGGACUGUCUCAUUUAACUUUGUUGUAACAAAAAAGUGAGUGCCAGUAAGAGAUUAAGCUGGAACCUGGAAGCAUAUCCAUAAUUGAACAUUGACUUAAUAAAAAAAGAACUAACCAAAAUGGAAAGAAUCACAAAGGCACUAAAAACAAUGGAUUAUGUUCAAUAAUUUGCAGUACAACAUCACAUUGAUACAAUACUAGAGUUAUAAGUUUGAGUUGAAAUUACACGAACUACUUAGAGAAAUGGCACCAUCAUCAAAUCAUACAAUAAUAAUAAUCUACCUUUAACAAGUGAGAUAGCUAGAAAUGUUGUGACAAUGAAUUGGCAGAUGAACCACCAAAUAUAAAAGCCACACUUGAUAUAUAUGAAGUAGUUAUCCAUAAAUAAAAAAUACCCUUUCACCCCACACCAGAAUUAACUACCAGAUUUAUGAAGAUUCAGUUACCAUAUCAAUCAGCAACUAUAACAAAGAUACAUUGAUGAUUCACUCACAUGAAACUAACUAUUUCAUUGCUCUUUAUUCAUGAAAACAAUAAUAAUAAGAAAAUAUAUUACUCUGAGAGAAGCAGGGAAGUGAUGUAGGGUGGUUCUGCACAACAACAUCAUUCAGAUAACUGUGUCUUGUUCUGUCCACUCUCUCUGUCCCAUUAUCCCUUCACUGUUUGGUUUUCAAGUUAGAAAUUUAUUAUUGUUUGUGGCAAAAUAUAAUGAGUUAUA
This 1660-nucleotide long non-coding RNA is filed under the name Lupinus angustifolius (narrow-leaved blue lupine). Its description in RNAcentral is "long non-coding RNA (LANG_LNC002064)". The record is from RNAcentral. Lineage: Eukaryota; Viridiplantae; Streptophyta; Magnoliopsida; Fabales; Fabaceae.